This 730-nucleotide ribosomal RNA is filed under the name Candidatus Tremblayella phenacoccinincola. RNAcentral's name for it is "bacterial SSU rRNA". It matches the Rfam family "Bacterial small subunit ribosomal RNA", at positions 658 to 1382 of the family's 1533-position model. The record is from RNAcentral. Lineage: Bacteria; Pseudomonadati; Pseudomonadota; Betaproteobacteria.
GGGAUAGAAUUCCAGGAGUAGCGGUGAAAUGCGUAGAUAUCUGGAGGAAUACCAAAGGCGAAGGCAGUCCCCUGGUCCGAUACUGACACUGAGGUACGAAAGCGUGGGGAGCAAACAGGAUUAGAUACCCUGGUAGUCCACGCCCUAAACGAUGUCGAUUAGCCAUUGGAAGGACCCCUUUUCCUUUCAGUGACGUAGCUAACGCGUUAAAUCGACCGCCUGGGAAGUACGACCGCAAGGUUAAAACUCAAAGGAAUUGACGGGGACCUGAACAAGCGGUGAAUGAUGUGGAUUAAUUCGAUGCUACGCGAAGAACCUUACCUACCUUUGACAUGGCCAAAGUUCUACCGAGAGGCGGAAGUACUCGUAAGAGGAUUGGCGCACAGGUGCUGCAUGGUUGUCGUCAGUUCGUGUCGUGAGAUAGUUGGGUUCAGUCCCGCAACGAACGCAACCCUUAUCUUUAAUUGCUCCUAUUUUAACAGGCACUUUAAAGAAACUGCCAAUGAUAAGUUGGAGGAAGGUGGGGAUCACGUCAAGUCCGCAUGGCCUUUAUAGGUAGGGCUUCACACGUCAUACAAUGGUUAGAACAAAGAGCUGCAAAUUCGUAAGAAGGAGCCAAUCUCACAAACCUAACCUCAGUUCGAAUUGCGGUCUGCAACUCGAGCGCAUGAAGCCGGAAUCGCUAGUAAUCGUGGAUCAGAAUGCCACGGUGAAUACGUUCUUAGGUCUU